GGAAUAUAUAAAAUAUAAAAUUUAAAAAUGACCUAAUAUGUUAAAUGCUGGUGAAGGAAGGAAGGAAGGAAGGAAGGAAGGAAGGAAGGAAGGAAGGAAGGAAGGAAGGAAGGAAGGAAGGAAGGAAAGAAGGAAGGAAGGGAGGAAGGGAGGGAGGAAGGGAGGAAGAGAGGGAGGGAAGGAGGGAGGAAGGAAGAAAGAAACGAAGAAUGGGUGGAAGCAAGGAAAGAAAGAAGAAGGAAAGAAAACUAAAGAAGAUUAACACAGAUGCACUGCAAAAAUGUGUGUACUGUGAAAAGAGCAAUAACACAGUGAUGCCUGGAGGGCAAAUCUCAUUUGCUAUAAUAAAAAUCAAGAUUUUUGGGCAAGCUAUUUGGCAAAAGAGGACCAAAAUGUUUGAAUUUACACACAGAACUUUUAGCAGUGGGAUUAAAACAGAUAUCUAAACUCUCAAGUUUCAGCUUCUUGACUGUAAGUAAUGAUAAUAUGUCCUCUGUGAUUUUCUUCUAUAUAGACAUACAGAUUACAUGAGAAACCAUAUAAGAUAUUUUAUCAUAUAAAUAGCUAUCAUUAUAAUAAUUCAUAUAGUUUUUCAAUAUUAUAAUUUUUAAAACUACUUUUUAAAAUAAAUUCACUUUAAUUCUUCAGUUAUUUAGUAAUGCAUGGCCCUGGUUAUAUGUUUCAGUGAUUAUUUUAGUCAACUAAUUAUAUUUAAAAUUUGAUUUGAGUGAUUUGUAGCAAUGGUCAAUGAAUUAUGGAUUUCCAACUAAGUUGACAUAUGUAUCAAUUUGAAAUACUAUUUUUUCACUUGAAAUUAUUAAAAUACUAUGCUAAGCAUUGAAUGCCUAUUUCAUCUUUCAAUCAUAAAACAUUUAUUUUGUAUAUUCUAGGUGGGGCAAUAUUUGGUUGUGGAGAAAAUAGGAAAUAUUUCAUAAAUUUGUUUAUUUUUAUCAAUAAUAUUUGUUACAAUGUAUGAAUUGUAAAUAAAUGAAUUUUUAGGGUUAGAAAAUAAUUUCAAAAAUGAUAAACAUGAAAAAAUGAGAGAAUGGUGCUUCAAUUUGUAUUCUUAAGUUUUAGUUUUUAAGAACCCAUGUCUUAGGUUGGAGCUCUUUAAAUGGUUGUUUUGAUAAGUAUCACCUUCUCCAAAACUUGUUUCAUGUGUUUCCAGACUUAUGAGUGGAAGCAGUCAUGUGUGUUUGUAUGUGUCCAUGAGUCACUUGUGCACACCCACAUAGAACAGGAAGUGGUGAGGAGUUUCAUGAUAUUUAGUAUUUUAGGAUAUUAUUUUUGUUUCGUAAAUAAAGCUAAAGGAUAAACCACAGUGUAUCAAAUAAGAAAACUGUCAAACCCCGAUUUUACAUCUAGCAAAAACUUCAAGACUGGAAGUGAAAUAAAUGCAUUCAAAUAAAAAGGUAAAAUGAUUUCAUGUCAGCAGAAUUGCCAAAGUAAGUACUUUAAGUUAAUGGGAAUAUAUAUCAGUUAGAAAUUCCAAUCCUUUGGGAAAGCAAGAAAGAAGAACAGAAGUAAUAAAUAACUGAAAAUUAUAAAAUCUUAUUUUUAGCCUUUUUUUCUAUUAAUUUGUUAUAAGCCAUAUUGAUGUUUAAAUAAAAUAUUAGAGAAUAGCCUUAAAGUUUUUAAAUGUAGAUAGAUUUAAAUAUGUAACAUCCAGGUAUUAUGCAUAGUAUUCAUUAGUUACUUCUCCUGAUCCUCUCGCUCCUCCCACCCUUCACUCUCUGGUAAGCCCCAGUGUGUGUUGUUCCCCUCUAUGUGUCCAUGUGUUCUCAUCAUUUAGCUCCCACUUAAAAGUGAGAAUAUUCAGUGUUUGAUUUUCUUUUCCUGUGUGAGUCUGCUAAGGAUAAUGGCCUCCAACUCCAUUCAUGUUUCGGUGAAGGACAUAAUCUCAUUUUUUAUGGCUGCACAGUAUUUUGUGGUGCAUAUGUAUGACAUUUUCUUUAGGUAGUCUAUCUGUGAUGGGCAUUUAGGUUGAUUCAUGUCUUUGUCAUAACACAUUUGCCUAUUGUAUUAGUCUGUUCUCGCACUGCUGUAAAGAACUACAUGAGACUGGGUAAUUUAUAAAGAAAAGACAUGUAAUUGGCUCAUGUUUCUGCAGGCUGUACAGGAGGCGUGACUGGGGAGGCUUCAGAAAACUUACAAUCAUGGCAAAAGGCAAAGAGGUAGGAGGCACAUCUUCACCUGUCCACAGCAGGAGGAAGACAGAGAGAAAGUGGAUAUGCUACACACUUUUAAACAACCAGAUCUUGUGAGAACUCUAGCCAAAACAACAUUUGGGGAUGGUGCUAAACCAUUAGCAACCACCACCAUUAUCCAAUCACCUCCCACCAUGCCCCUUCUCUAACACUGGAAAUCCUGAUUUGAUGUGAGAUUUGCAUGGGAACACAAAUCCAAACCAUAUCAGUUAUGUAAUAAACUUGCACAUGUAACCCUGAGUUUAAAUUAAAAGUUUCAAAAUUUUUUUCAAAAAUUGAAAAAAAAUGUAUACACAAACAUAUGUGUGAAUACGCAUACCACAUAUAUGACACCUAUAACAUAAGAGAGAAGGGGAACAUGGAUCUAAAAAUUUGCAUUUUUUUGUAUUAGAAGAUUUAUUAUGGUUAAGCCAUAAAUGCUACUCAAAUCCCAAUCAGAAUUCAGACAGAAUUAUUUUGUGUAGAAAUUCACAGGUGAUUCAACACUUAUGUUGAAAUGUAAUACUUAUAUGGAAAUAACUUAUAUGGAAAUAACAAAAAAUGACUUUAAAAAGGACAACAACAGAGGACUUGAACUACUGUAUUGAAAGCAUUACUCCAAAAGUACAAUACUCACACAGCAUGUGACUGACAUUAAGGAUAGGAGUAGACAACAGUGGAACAGUUUAGGAAGUUUAGAAAUAGAAUUAUGCAUAUAUGGUCAUUCAUUUUUAAAAAGGGUGCCAAAACAAUUCAAUGGAAAAACUAGGUGUUUACAAAAAAUAAUGCAGAAACAAGUAGAUGUCAUAGGGAGAAGAAAAAAAAAAAACAAAAAAACAACCCAUAUGCCAAGCUCUUUCUAAAAGAUUAAACAAAAAAUGAAAUAGAUAUCUAUUGAUAUAUGUAAGAGUCAAAAUUUUGAAAUUACCAGAGAAUAAUUAUGGUGAAAUAUGGAUGCCCCUGGUUUAGGCAAAC
RNAcentral lists this long non-coding RNA (3161 nucleotides) under Macaca mulatta (Rhesus monkey). RNAcentral's name for it is "lncRNA (ENSMMUG00000064244.1)". Lineage: Eukaryota; Metazoa; Chordata; Mammalia; Primates; Cercopithecidae. The record is from RNAcentral.